UAAGGCCCCCUAUUAUCCAUACAUACAAAAGGAGGGGUAAAAACGUAAAAGCUCACGCAGCAGAAAAGGGGAGAAUAUUAGGAAAAGAACAUGAGAGUGGGGCCCACGGGGAAGAAUGAGAAAAGAGCUAUAAAUAAGGCCUUAUCGGGAUUGGGGGCUAGGUUAACUUUUUGUCUUCAUUUGGUCUGUAGAGGCUGCUAGGUCUAGGAAGGACUACUAUCUUUUCCUGGGGAGGUUUGACAUGAUAUUAUCAUCUUUAUUGCUUUCUUUUAUAUUUCCUUCUACUGUAUCUCUUGGCAUUUAUAUAUAAAUAAAGAUCUACAGAGUGCUGUCUCUGUUUGCCAACUGUUUGGGUAAUUUAGUAUUUUAUUUGUGGAGUCUCUACAACUGGUAUCAGAGCCCAAACGCUGGGGUGGUGACGCGACUGAUGGCGCAAAGGCAAAUAGAAGAAAGAAUAGAUGGAACGAGAAAGAAAUACUGGGCUUGAAGGAAAUGAUUCUGGAAAUGAAGAAAUCCAUGGAUAGACUGGCUGAUGAAAUGAAAGAAAACAGCAGCUACAAAAGGCGAGAUGAAUCCGGAACUUCUGAUGGAUCAGUCAUGAAGUUAAAAGGAAAAUGGGAAGAAGCCGACAAUCCAGGGGAAAACAAUGUAGUAACUGUCGACCGAAGCAAAUAUAAGAAACUGGAAAUGCCGAUUUUCACCGGGGAAAAUCCUGAGUCAUGGGUGUUUAGAGCUGAGCAUUUUUUCGAAAUUAAUAGCCUACCGGAAGCAGAAAAAGUGAAAGUAGGUGGUUAGUUUCGGACAAGAUGAAAUCGAUUGGUACCGUUGGAGUAACCAUAGAAAGAAGGUGGAAGGAUGGGAAGAUUUGAAGGUAAGGAUGUUUGAAUUUUUUCGAGAUUCUGGGCAGAAGAGCUUAGGUGCAAGGCUGAUUCGAAUAGAACAAGAUGGAUCCUAUAAUGAUAUGUCAAGAAAUUCGUACAAUAUUCUGCACCACUACUGCACAUGGCUGAAAGCGUGCUCUUAGAUGCAUUCGUGACUGGUCUAGAACCGGCUCUUCAAGCAGAAGUUAUUAGUAGACAUCCUCAAACCUUAGAGGAAUGUAUGAAGGAGGCACAACUGGUAAGUGGCAGAAACCUAGCCUUGAAAUUAGCCAAGGCAGAAUGGGUAAACAGUGUGACUAGGGAAGGAGGAGGCUCAAGCAAGGGACAAAGCAGUCAAGAUAAAAGUUCACCAAAGAAGACUGAGUUCCCCAUGAAGCAAGUCACUAUUCCCAUUAAAGGAAACUACCAGAAAAAUGAACCUCCAGUUAAAAGACUCUUGGACACGGAAUUCAGAGCAAGAUUGGACAAGGGUUUGUGUUUUAGAUGCAAUGAGAAGUACUCACCGGGACACCGAUGCAAGAUGAGAGAGAAAAGGGAAUUAAUGUUAUUUAUACUUAACGAAGAAGAGAGUGGCGGGGAGGAAGUCAAAAUGGAAGAGACCGAAGAAGUAAUGGAGCUGAACCAGUUAGUUGUUGCUGAAACCACCGAAAUUGAAUUGAAGACACUCACGGGGUUAACAUCCAAAGGGACAAUGAAACUGAAGGGGCAUGUAAAAGGAAGGGAGGUGGUGAUUCUCAUCGACAGUGGAGCUACGAACAACUUCAUCCAUGAAGCAGUGGCAAUGGAAGGAGGGUUGAACAUUGAACCCGGUACACAAUUUGGAGUGACUAUUGGAGACGGGACCCGCUGUAAAGGGAAAGGUAUUUGCAGAAAGGUGGAACUGAGAUUGAAAGAAAUGACAGUUAUAACUGAUUUUCUAGUGGUGGAACUAGGAAAUAUUGACGUGAUUUUAGGGAUGCAAUGGCUAGAUACCACCGGCACAAUGAAGGUACAUUGGCCAUCAUUAACCAUGACCUUUUGGGCAAAAGACAAGCAAAUCGUGUUAAGAGGAGAUCCAUCCUUAGUGAAACCUGAAUGUUCUUUGAAGACAUUGGAAAAAACGUGGGAUAUAGUGUAAGACCUCCAAUUAUUCAUACAUAUCAAAGGAGGGGCAGAAAAGUAAUUGGACAAAUUAAUAAUGAGGAAGGAAAAAGAGGAGGAGAUCGUGCAGGUGGGGCCCAGGCACAGAAAUAAGAGAAAGAUGAGAGAAGGAAUAUAAAUAGGUUUUUUAGGUCUAGGGGAGGUAGGUUUUAUUUUUAUCCUGAAGUUGGCGGCUGCUUAGCCUAGAGGAAUAUCCAGUCUUUCCCUAGAGGAAGCUGGGUUUGUCUUAUUAUUCCUUGUUUUUCUUGAAUCUUUAUGUUUUUCUGUACUCAUUUUGGCUAUAUAUAAAUAAAGAUAGCAGAGGGCUACCUCUGUUUUUGGCCAUUGUAAGGGAGAAAUAGUGAAGUAAGCAAGUUGAAUCCUUACAUAUAGAAGACCAAGGCUUCCUCUUAGAAUUCCAGAAUUAUGAGAUGGAAGUAGAGAAUGAAUAUGAACUGGGGACAAGAUUAAAAGGAGAUGAGGAGGAAAUAUCUAUGAUCCGAUCCCUGCUCAAGUAUUAUGCGGAGAUAUUUGAGACACCGAAAAAUUACCUCCAAAAAGAGCUAUUGAUCACCGAAUAUUAACCCUACCUGACCAUAAACCUAUCAACGUAAGACCUUACAAAUACGGUCAUGUGCAGAAAGAAGAAUAAAAAAAAACUGGUGGUCGAGAUGCUUCAAGCAGGGGUAUUCGCCUAGUCAUAGCCCUUACUCCAGCCCGGUGUUGUUAGUGAAGAAAAAAAGAUGGUGGAUGGAGAUUUUGUGUCGAUUACCGCAAGUUAAAUCAGACGACAGUAUCGGAUAAGUUCCCAAUUCCUGUGAUAGAGGAAUUAUUAGAUGAGCUGAAUAGGGCAACGGUUUUCUCGAAAUUAGAUCUGAAAUCUGGUUAUCACCAGAUUAGAAUGAAAGAGGAAGAUGUGGAGAAAACUGUGUUCCGCACACAUGAAGGGCACUAUGAGUUUCUAGUAAUGCCGUUUGGUCUCCACGAAUGCUCUGGCAACCUUCCAAUCUUUGAUGAACCAAGGUAUUUAAACCUUUCCUUCGGCGCUGUGUUUUGGUGUUCUUUGAUGAUAUACUGGUUUAUAGUGCGGAUAUAGAUGAACACGCAAAGCAUUUGGGCAUGGUAUUCAAUGUUUUGAAGUAUAACCAGCUGUUUUGCUAACAAAAAAAAAUGCGUUAUAGCCCAUUCCAGUACAGUACUUGGGACAUAUGAUAUCCAAAAGAGGAGUUGAGGCAGAUGAGGAUAAGAUCAAGAAGAUGAUUAAUUGGCCACCACCAACGAAUAUAUCUGGUCUGCGGGGCUUCUUAGGACUGACAGGAUAUUAUAGGAGGUUUGUCAAGGGUUAUGGAGAGAUCGCUGCACCGCUAACCAAGUUAUUAUAGAAGAAUGCUUUUAAGUGGAAUGAAGAAGCAAAUACUGCCUUCGAAAAUUUGAAGCUAGCAAUGACUACUCUACCAGUGUUGGCAUUACCAGAUUGGAACAUUCCCUUUAUUAUCGAAACUGAUGCAUCUGGCGUAGGGUUAGGAGCGGUGAUCUCUCAAAAUGGCCACCCGAUUGCCUUUUUCAGUCAGAAGUUAUCCACAAGGGCUCAAAACAAAUCCAUCUAUGAAAGAGAGUUGAUGGCUGUAGUUCUAUCAGUUCAAAAAUGGAGGCAUUAUUUGCUGGGCAGGAAGUUCACCAUACUUUCAGAUCAAAAGGCUCUUAAAUUCUUGCUUGAACAGAGAGAGGUAAGCCCCAAUUCCAGAAAUGGUUGACAAAGCUCCUUGGAUAUGAUUUCGAGAUUUUAUAUCAACCGGACAUCAGAACAAGGCAGCGGAUAUCUAGAAUGGAGAACCGGUGGAGCUGCACAGCUUGACAACUACUGGAAUCAUUGAUGUGAAACUAAUCGAGCAGGAAGUUGAGAAUGAUGCUGAACUUAAGAAAAUUAUGGAAAAUCUGAAGAAAAAUGCAGAAGAAGGAAGCAAGUUUCAAGUUUUCUAUAAGGGAGAAUGGUAGUAUCUCAAACUUCUUUUAUACCCAAGAUCCUACAUACUUUCCACGAUUCUAUCCUCGGGGGACAUUCUGGAUUUUUAAGAACUUACAAGAGGAUCAGUGGAGAACUAUAUUGGAGGGUAUGAAGGCUGAAAUAAAGAAAUAUGUGGAACAAUGCGAGAUCUGCCAGAGAAACAAAUACGAAGCAACCAAACCAGCUGGGGUACUUCAACCAAUUCCAAUUCCUGACAGAAUCUUAGAAGAUUGGACCAUGGACUUUUAUUGAGGGGUUGCCACUAGCUGGAGGGGUUAAUGUGAUCAUGGUGGUAGUUGAUCGGCUGAGUAAGUAUUCUUACUUUAUAUCAUUGAGACAUCCGUUUUCAGCCAAGCAAGUUGCUUCCAUAUUCAUCGACAGAAUAGUAAGCAAGCACGGCAUUCCUAAGUCGAUUAUCACAGAUCGGGAUAAAAUCUUUCUUAGUAAUUUUUGGAAGGAACUGUUUGCAACCAUGGAACUAUUCUAAAGAGGAGUACCGCCGUUUCACCCACAAACUGAUGGGCAGACAGAAAGGGUAAAUAGAUGUCUCGAAACUUAUCUGCGAUGCUUCUGUAAUGAACAACCAAAAAAAUGGGAUAGACUGAUUCCAUGGGCAGAAUUGUGGUAUAAUACCACCUUCCAUGCAUCCACCAAAAUAACCCCUUUUCAGACGGUAUACCGCAGACCGCCUCCUCCCCUGUUAUCUAUGGUUACAAGAAAACUCCUAAUAAUGAGGUUGACACGCUGCUGAAGGAACGUGACUUAGCCAUCAAUGCCUUAAAAGAACACCUGUGUGUAGCCUAGAACAGGAUGAAGAAAAUGGCUGAUCGAAAUAGAAGAGAGUUAAAAUUUAAGGUAGGAGAUGAAGUCUACUUGAAAUUGAGACCUUACCGGCAACGCUCCUUGGCUCGGAAGAAGUGUGAAAAGUUAGCACCUAAAUAUUACGGACCCUACAAAAUUACUGAAGAAAUAGGAGCAGUUGCGUACAGAUUGAUGUUACCGCCGGAAGCCAGUAUCCACAAUGUGUUCCAUAUUUCUCAGUUAAAACUGAAACUGGGUAGUCAACAAGCUGUUCAACACCAGCAACCUAGGCUAACGGAAGAGUUUGAGUUACAAUUAUGGCCGGAAACAGUGUUGGGAGUCCGUUGGAAUCGGGAAUUGGGAGGAAAUGAAUGGUUAAUUAAGUGGAAAGGGCUGCCGGACAGUGAAACAACUUGGGAAUCUGUUUUCCAAAUGAACCAACAAUUCCCUGACUUUCACCUUGAGGACAAGGUGAACCUGGAACCGAGGGGUAUUGUAAGGCCCCCUAUUAUCCAUACAUACAAAAGGAGGGUAAAAACGUAAAAGCUCACGCAGCAGAAAAGGGGAGAAUAUUAGGAAAAGAACAUGAGAGUGGGGCCCACGGGGAAGAAUGAGAAAAGAGCUAUAAAUAAGGCCUUAUCGGGAUUGGGGGCUAGGUUAACUUUUUGUCUUCAUUUGGUCUGUAGAGGCUGCUAGGUCUAGGAAGGACUACUAUCUUUUCCUGGGGAGGUUUGACAUGAUAUUAUCAUCUUUAUUGCUUUCUUUUAUAUUUCCUUCUACUGUAUCUUUUGGCAUUUAUAUA
RNAcentral lists this long non-coding RNA (5608 nucleotides) under Cucumis sativus (cucumber). RNAcentral's name for it is "long non-coding RNA (CSAT_LNC002984)". The record is from RNAcentral. Lineage: Eukaryota; Viridiplantae; Streptophyta; Magnoliopsida; Cucurbitales; Cucurbitaceae.